AUUGAACGCUGGCGGAAUGCUUUACACCUGCAAGUCGAACGGCAGCACGGACUUCGGUCUGGUGGCGAGUGGCGAACGGGUGAGUAAUGUAUCGGAACGUGCCCAGUCGUGGGGGAUAACGUAGUGAAAAUUACGCUAAUACCGCAUACGAUCUAUGGAUGAAAGCGGGGGAUCGCAAGACCCCGCGCGAUUGGAGCGGCCGAUAUUAGAUUAGGUAGUUGGGGGGGUAAAGGCCCACCAAGCCAACGAUCUGUAGCUGGUCUGAGAGGACGACAAGCCACACUGGAACUGGGACACGGACCAGACUCCUACGGGAGGAAGCAGUGGGGAAUUGUGGACAAUGGGCGAAAGCCUGAUCCAGCCAUUCCGCGUGCAGGAUGAAGGCCCUCGGGUUGUAAACUGCUUUUGUACAGAACGAAAAGGUUUCUACUAAUACUAGGAGCUCAUGACGGUACCAGAUGAAUAAGCACCGGCUAACUCCGUGCCAGCCGCCGCCGUAA
This 500-nucleotide ribosomal RNA is filed under the name uncultured bacterium. RNAcentral's name for it is "partial 16S ribosomal RNA". It matches the Rfam family "Bacterial small subunit ribosomal RNA", at positions 30 to 523 of the family's 1533-position model. The record is from RNAcentral.